RNAcentral lists this ribosomal RNA (388 nucleotides) under uncultured bacterium. RNAcentral's name for it is "bacterial SSU rRNA". It matches the Rfam family "Bacterial small subunit ribosomal RNA", at positions 28 to 417 of the family's 1533-position model. The record is from RNAcentral.
GACGAACGCUGGCGGCGCGCUUAACACAUGCAAGUCGAGCGGUAAGGCCCUUUCGGGGGUACACGAGCGGCGAACGGGUGAGUAACACGUGGGUGACCUGCCUUUAGCUCUGGGAUAAGCCUGGGAAACUGGGUCUAAUACCGGAUACGACUCCGCGGUGCAUGCUGUGGGGUGGAAAGCCUUGUGCGGCUGGAGAUGGGCCCGCGGCCUAUCAGCUUGUUGGUGGGGUGAUGGCCACCAAGGCGACGACGGGUAGCCGGCCUGAGAGGGCGACCGGCCGACACUGGGACUGAGACACGGCCCAGACUCCUACGGGAGGCAGCAGUGGGGAAUCUUGCGCAAUGGGCGAAAGCCUGACGCAGCGACGCCGCGUGAGGGAUGACGGCCU